Molecule: ribosomal RNA, 253 nt
Filed under: uncultured bacterium
Lineage: Bacteria
Description: partial 16S ribosomal RNA
Rfam family: Bacterial small subunit ribosomal RNA
Source: RNAcentral
UACGUAGGGGGCAAGCGUUGUCCGGAAUUAUUGGGCGUAAAGAGCGCGUAGGCGGUCCGAUAAGUCGGCUGUGAAAGUCAAGGGCUCAACCCUUGAAAGCCGGCCGAUACUGUCGGGCUAGAGUCCGGAAGAGGCGAGUGGAAUUCCCGGUGUAGCGGUGGAAUGCGUAGAGAUCGGGAAGAACAUCGGUGGCGAAGGCGGCCCGCUGGGCUGGUGCUGACGCUGAGGCGCGACAGCGUGGGGAGCAAACAGG